AACGAACGCUGGCGGCAUGCCUAACACAUGCAAGUCGAACGAGACCUUCGGGUCUAGUGGCGCACGGGUGCGUAACGCGUGGGAACCUGCCCUUAGGUUCGGAAUAACUCCCCGAAAGGGGUGCUAAUACCGGAUAAUGUCUUCGGACCAAAGAUUUAUGGCCUUUGGAUGGGCCCGCGUUGGAUUAGCGAGUUGGUAGGGUAAAAGCCUACUAAGGCGACGAUCCAUAGCUGGUCUGAGAGGAUGAUCAGCCACACUGGGACUGAGACACGGCCCAGACUCCUACGGGAGGCAGCAGUGGGGAAUAUUGGACAAUGGGCGAAAGCCUGAUCCAGCAAUGCCGCGUGAGUGAUGAAGGCCUUAGGGUUGUAAAGCUCUUUUACCCGGGAUGAUAAUGACAGUACCGGGAGAAUAAGCACCGGCUAACUCCGUG
This 433-nucleotide ribosomal RNA is filed under the name uncultured bacterium. RNAcentral describes it as "partial 16S ribosomal RNA". It matches the Rfam family "Bacterial small subunit ribosomal RNA", at positions 29 to 507 of the family's 1533-position model. The record is from RNAcentral.